Sorex fumeus (smoky shrew) is the source of this 125-nucleotide small nucleolar RNA. RefSeq annotates it as small nucleolar RNA ACA64. The transcript has a single exon. Lineage: Eukaryota; Metazoa; Chordata; Mammalia; Eulipotyphla; Soricidae. The record is from RefSeq and is a predicted model, not a curated record.
GCACUUGAAAAAUCACCUGUGGCUUUGACCCUGUGUGGGUGAGACUUGGUACCCAGAGCCAGCCUCAGCCAGAUGCCCACUUUCUGGUUGGGGGGAGGUGUUGUGAAACCCAGGUGCCUACAAGU